CGGCACGGGUGAGUAACACGUAUCCAACCUGCCGUCUACUCUUGGCCAGCCUUCUGAAGGAAGAUAAUCCAGGAUGGCAUCAUGAGUUCACAUGUCCGCAUGAUUAAAGGUAUUUCCGGUAGACGAUGGGGAUGCGUUCCAUUAGAUAGUAGGCGGGGUAACGGCCCACCUAGUCAACGAUGGAUAGGGGUUCUGAGAGGAAGGUCCCCCACAUUGGAACUGAGACACGGUCCAA
This 235-nucleotide ribosomal RNA is filed under the name uncultured bacterium. RNAcentral describes it as "partial 16S ribosomal RNA". It matches the Rfam family "Bacterial small subunit ribosomal RNA", at positions 100 to 334 of the family's 1533-position model. The record is from RNAcentral.